CUGUGACAGGCUGGGUGGGGUUCCUGGGCUCUCUCUGGCACUGGAAGGAGAAGUGGAGCCAGGUCUCUGCCUGCCACUGACCCUCCAGGCUCAGCUAUCCCAGCCCUGAGUGCAAACCACAACUCCUCUCAGGAGCCUGCUCCAGCAAGGCCAGGAUGACAUCAGGGGGAGAAACGCCUUCUGCAGGAACUGGCAUCCCAAGGGCCCCAGAAUCCCUCACAUGCCAAGAGCACAGAAGUAAAUAAGGCAGCCAGAGGAGGAGUUCAGCCAGCAGCUGCCACUGCAAACACCCAGCCAGCCCAGAAGGAAGCAGGAGGCUCUGAGAACACGAGCCACAAAGCAGAGGCCAGGAUCUCCUUCACAGUGUCUGGAGAGGAUGUUUGAGAAGAACUCUUGGCCAAGGAUGGAUUUCUAACCUCAGUGCCCUGAGCCCAUGUUACAGGGGAAAAGGAAAAUGCAGCUUGCAGAAAGGGACAUUUACCGUAUCUGAGGUAAGUUCUGGCAAGACCAAGUUAGGAAGGCCUGAGGAGUUAAAUGAACUGAAAAGGUAUUUAUGGGAAGGGAAGUAAUCAGCUUAACAGAAUGAAGAGGGGAGCAAGACCUGUGAACAGAUUUGAUUGCCAGGAACAGAGCCCAGCUGCCUUUCACAUCCCAGACAAACACAGUUUGCCUUGCAAUUGCUUUCAUUUUAUAAAAGCCACCAUCUGUGGAGAGAGGAAGCAGAAGGUCGAAGUGGAGGUAACAUAACCUCUUCCCUAUGCCAGUCCCAAAAUUUAAUCCUGCAAAAGCAGCAACCUGUAGACCAUGUAGGAGGCAAUUGCCUGUAUUUUGUGACAUCUGUUCUAGUUUCACUUGAAUAGAUAAUGCCAGACAGGUGAAACAGAGAAGUUAGAGGAAUGACUACAGAAGUGCAGAAAAAUAAAAAUGUUCUUAAAGGAUUGUGGGAGGCACCUAGUGGUACUGAUGCACUUAAAGAAUGUUAAUUGCCAAGUAGAUAACUGGAAUUUGAGAGUUUGAAAUGUGCUUUUUUUUAAAGGUCGUGGAAGGUCAGCUCUAAGUUCUUCCUUUCUCGCUGGGAAGGUGCAAUGUCUCACAAAUUAUAGUACACAGAAAGAAAGCAGAGUUGAGCUGUUUUGUGCUUCCCAGUGUGCAUUUUUUGUGGUGUCAUUACCGAGGCUGUUAUCUGAAAAAAUAGCUCUAUUAAAUGAACAGCUCUGAUAUGGAGGAAGACGAUUAUCUCUCUCCUUGUUAAAUUACUGCACUGAUGCACAGCCAGAAGGGACUGUGUUUUCCUUGCAGUUAGAUGUUCACAGGACCAAACAUUUUCCUAAUGAGCAGACAUUAUUAAAGGUUGCUGUGCACAAGGUUGUGUUGUUGGUCAUGAUGAGCCGUGCCUAACGUGGGAGCUGCAGGGAGGUGUUUCAGGGAGGCUGCAGGCACAUGUGAGCUCUGCAGAUGCAUUCCAGGUGGGGAACCUUGCAGAGCUGCUGCUCUCAGUGCUGGAAGCAGGACUAAAGCCUUGUCCUUGCCUCAGGCUUUGCUAGAGCUGCCUUAGGCAAGGCUCUCCUGCCGUGCCAGCACCAGUGGGGACCUGGUGACACCUCUGAGCUCUGCCAUCAGCCCCCGAGCAGGGCUGGGACUGCAGGCUCCUCCUGGGCUGCCCACUCCUGCCAUGGCUCCAGGCUGAUGGCAGGCUGGAAAUAAGUGUGAUUUCAGAGGCUUGUUUGGUUUGAACUGCUGUGGAUUCAAAGAGAAAUUAUUCACACAAGUGGCUUUUUUGAAGUCAUGGCACAACUAUUACCCUUUCUGUCCACUGAAAUGCUCCUAAGUGGCUCCCCUGAUUUUUGUUUUAUUCUGCAUUUUUCUUCAGAAUAUUAUGAGCAUGAACUAAAGCUAGCAUUUUGCAAUGGCAGAGUUGCUAACUGUGCUGCAGUUUUGGUGUGGUUUGGUGUGUGUGUGUGUGUUUUGGUUUGGGUUUUUUUUUGGUCUUGAACUGUUUCAUGUUUUAUUCUCUGUUUGUGAGUAGAUAUCAGCAAAAGCUUAGCUUGGAGGAUGCUUAAAGGAGCACAUUCAGUGCCCAAUCAAGCCUGAUUUUAUUCCGUAACAACGGAAAAUAACAGGGAGAAGAGAAAGUCACCUGUACCAAAGGCAAAACUGAAACUGAGACAGCCCAGAGCAGCUCUCUGGGAGCUGCCCUGAGCCAAGGCAGCAUCCUCAGGGAAGGGGUGGUGGAGACCCAGGGGCAGAGCUCACACAUCCCCUGGACCCAGUGUGUCAGCACCUGGUGGGAAUGCUGAUGUCAGUGCUGCAUUCGGUGCUGUAAUCAUCCUUGACAAGAUGAAAUAUGGCCCCUGAAUUCCAAGAACAUAUGGGAUUACUGAGAAGGAAAAUGGUGUGAACAAGGGCAAUUAUAGCAAUAACUAUCCAUGACACACUGCAUGGAGUCAGCCAAGCAUAACACAGAUAUAAUGAAAAUAUUUUUAAAGGCAAACAUGAUGUAAGCCAGUGCCAAAAUGAUCUAAUUUAUUAUUCUGUCAUGAAUGAUAAAUGUUAAUAACCUCUGUGUUUCACAAAAUAGCAAGAAAGUUUUCUUUUAUGUAUGACUUGAUUUUAAAGGAGACAAAGGGAAGAGGCUUUAUUGGAAGAGGAUGAAAAAUCUUUCUCAUCUAAAUUCUAAUCUUUAAUUUUUCAGCAUAUAAUUGCUGUAGUUAUUUUUUCCCCACCUCACCACACCUGCACACCUAUGCAGCACAGAGGAGGCAGCUGGCAGCAGUUAAUCAUCCCAGAAGCAGCUCUGACCUUGGGAAGGAGCUGCAGGACUGCAUCCCUGGGAGGGAGCUGAGGAGAUUGAGAUGUGACGUUUCUGACUUGCAUUAUCAUUCUCAGAUAAGUGUAAGAGUAAUAAAGCUUUCGUACAAGAAGUGUUGUUUUAAAACCCAUCCCUGGUGACCUGCUGUGGACUGAAACCACUCCCAGAGGCAGGAGUUCAUCCUGACCCUGGCUCUGCACUGGGUGCAGCAGCUCUCUCUGCUGGGGAGGCUCAGUGCAGUUAUUCUCUGGGUAUAAAGUUGAACAGAAACAUUG
Passer domesticus (house sparrow) is the source of this 3084-nucleotide long non-coding RNA. RefSeq lists it as uncharacterized. The record is from RefSeq and is a predicted model, not a curated record. The transcript has 4 exons. Lineage: Eukaryota; Metazoa; Chordata; Aves; Passeriformes; Passeridae.